Molecule: ribosomal RNA, 391 nt
Filed under: Heterotermes cardini
Lineage: Eukaryota; Metazoa; Arthropoda; Insecta; Blattodea; Rhinotermitidae
Description: partial large subunit ribosomal RNA
Source: RNAcentral
CUUUUCUUGUUAGUUUUUGAAGUAUGGCCUGCCCGCUGACUUGAAGUGUUGAAGGGCCGCGGUAUUUUGACCGUGCAAAGGUAGCAUAAUCAUUAGUUCUUUAAUUGUGAUCUGGAAUGAAUGGCUUGACGAGACACGAGCUGUCUUAAGUUGUGAAUAUUUUAUUGAAUUUGGUUUUUGAGUUAAAAUUCUUAGAUGUUUUUAUGGGACGAGAAGACCCUAUAGAGUUUAACAUUUGGUCUAUUUUCCUUAUUGUUUGUUUUGUUUAAUUGAGUGGGCUUAUAUGUUUUGUUGGGGCGAUGAGAGGGAUAUAGUUUAACCCCUCUUUAUUUUGGUUAUAUUAAUUUAUAGUUGCUUGAUCCAUUGAUUUUGAUUAUAAGAUUAAAUUACC